UGGGGAAUAUUGGACAAUGGGCGCAAGCCUGAUCCAGCCAUGCCGCGUGGAUGAUGAAGGCCUUAGGGUUGUAAAGUCCUUUUAACGGGGAAGAUAAUGACGGUACCCGUAGAAUAAGCCCCGGCUAACUUCGUGCCAGCAGCCGCGGUAAUACGAAGGGGGCUAGCGUUGCUCGGAAUUACUGGGCGUAAAGCGCACGUAGGCGGCUCUUUAAGUCGGGGGUGAAAUCCUGGAGCUCAACUCCAGAACUGCCUUCGAUACUGUAGAGCUUGAGUUCGGGAGAGGUGAGUGGAACUGCGAGUGUAGAGGUGAAAUUCGUAGAUAUUCGCAAGAACACCAGUGGCGAAGGCGGCUCACUGGCCCGAUACUGACGCUGAGGUGCGAAAGCGUGGGGAGCAAACAG
RNAcentral lists this ribosomal RNA (403 nucleotides) under uncultured bacterium. Its description in RNAcentral is "bacterial SSU rRNA". It matches the Rfam family "Bacterial small subunit ribosomal RNA", at positions 355 to 775 of the family's 1533-position model. The record is from RNAcentral.